GUACGUUUCACCCUCGGGUGACAGGGAGACAGGUGGUGGCAUGGUUGUCGUCAGCUCGUGUCGUGAGAUGUGGUUAAGUCCCGCAACGAGCGCAACCCCUACGUUUAGUUGCUAACGCGUGAAGGCGAGCACUCUAGACGAACUGCCGUUGACAAAACGGAGGAAGGUGGGGAUGACGUCAAAUCAUCAUGCCCCUUAUGUUCUGGGCUACACACGUGCUACAAUGGCCGGUACAGACGGACGCAAAGCCGCGAGGUGGAGCAAAUCCUAAAAAGCCGGUCUCAGUUCGGAUUGCAGGCUGCAAUUCGCCUGCAUGAAGUCGGAAUCGCUAGUAAUCGCAGGUCAGCAUACUGCGGUGAAUACGUUCCCGGGCCUU
Molecule: ribosomal RNA, 376 nt
Filed under: uncultured Pelotomaculum sp.
Lineage: Bacteria; Bacillati; Bacillota; Clostridia; Eubacteriales; Desulfotomaculaceae
Description: bacterial SSU rRNA
Rfam family: Bacterial small subunit ribosomal RNA
Source: RNAcentral